This 312-nucleotide ribosomal RNA is filed under the name Eniochthonius minutissimus. RNAcentral describes it as "eukaryotic LSU rRNA". It matches the Rfam family "Eukaryotic large subunit ribosomal RNA", at positions 646 to 919 of the family's 3401-position model. Lineage: Eukaryota; Metazoa; Arthropoda; Arachnida; Sarcoptiformes; Eniochthoniidae. The record is from RNAcentral.
GACCCGUCUUGAAACACGGACCAAGGAGUCUAACAUGUGCGCGAGUCGCUCGGUCUUGAAUAGGCCAGAGAGGCGCAAUGAAAGUAAAGUUGAUUAGUUACGAUCCUCGUGCGGUCGCUGGUUAACUGGCGACGGCGGGGCGCAGUAACAGCCCUCCCAUUUCGCUCAUAUCGACGAUAGGGAGGAGUUGUAGCGUACACGUUGGUACCCGAAAGAUGGUGAACUAUGCCUGAGCAAGAUGAAGCCAGAGGAAACUCUGGUGGAGGUCUGUAGCGAUUCUGACGUGCAAAUCGAUCGUCAGACUUGGGUAUA